UUCCACAAUCUCAUCUCUCUUAGAGAACUCCAUAUCGAGGGAUCCCCAAACGCAUUGUCCUUUCCAGAAGAGGAGAAGGGAAUGAAGUUGCCAGCCUCUCUAAUUCAUCUAAAAUUAGAAAAAUUUCCAAAACUGAAAUACCUAUCUUCCAAGAGUUUCCAGAAUCUCACCUGUCUUGAAAACCUGGAUAUCUUUUAUUGCCCAAAUCUUGCAUCCUUGCCACACCUUCCAUCCUCGCUUCUGCAACUACAUAUUUUUCAUUGUCCAUUACUGAAGAAACGGUGCGAAAGUGGUGAAGGACAAGACUGGUCCAAGAUAGCCCACAUCCCUGACAGCAGGUUCAUCUAGAUCCAGAGGAGGAACAAUGAUGUCCAUUUGGUAUCAGAAACAAUGGAAAAUUCCGAAUCACUUCAUACUUAGGGGCUAUUCAGGAACCUACUGGAAAGUAUCAACUUGAAUGCUUAUGCCAGCGAGUAAGCAAGUGGACUAUUUUAUACUCGGUUCCUGAAGUUAUCCUUUUCUUUGCCUCAUGCAUUCUUCUAAC
Pistacia vera is the source of this 544-nucleotide long non-coding RNA. RefSeq lists it as uncharacterized. The transcript is spliced from 3 exons. The record is from RefSeq and is a predicted model, not a curated record. Lineage: Eukaryota; Viridiplantae; Streptophyta; Magnoliopsida; Sapindales; Anacardiaceae.